RNAcentral lists this ribosomal RNA (229 nucleotides) under uncultured bacterium. RNAcentral describes it as "partial 16S ribosomal RNA". It matches the Rfam family "Bacterial small subunit ribosomal RNA", at positions 568 to 796 of the family's 1533-position model. The record is from RNAcentral.
CGCGUAGGCGGUUAGAUCAGUUGGGUGUGAAAGCCCCGGGCUCAACCUGGGAACUGCAUUCAAUACUGUCUGACUGGAGUAUGGGAGAGGGCAGUGGAAUUCCAUGUGUAGCGGUGAAAUGCGUAGAUAUGUGGAGGAACACCAGUGGCGAAGGCGACUGCCUGGCCCAAUACUGACGCUGAGGUGCGAAAGCGUGGGGAGCGAACAGGAUUAGAUACCCUGGUAGUCC